Long non-coding RNA from Amphimedon queenslandica, 590 nucleotides. RefSeq lists it as uncharacterized. The record is from RefSeq and is a predicted model, not a curated record. The transcript is spliced from 3 exons. NCBI's taxonomy places the organism in Eukaryota, Metazoa, Porifera, Demospongiae, Haplosclerida, Niphatidae.
AAUAUACACACUAUAUAACUAUUGGACAGGCUUACCAUGAUAAUUUGAAAUUUCCAAGCUAUAUGGUAUAAAGUCCAAAGGAGUUCCAUUCAUCAAUGAAGAGGUUGUUUGUCACUAAAGCAUGAUGACUGUACUGUGAAUUAAAGUGAUCAGGAGGACUGGCCUCUUCAACUAAAAACAACAAAAGAAACCUUACAAUGAUUUGUCAAUGACCACAAUGAAGAGUCCCUGUUGUUUACUCUUGAUAUAAUGACAACAAUCAAUCAAUACUGACACAAAAUGGAACCUACCAUCAGACAGGUCGGUAAUGUCAUUUCUAGGAAAACUAAAAGGAGGCACACACCUGACUCUGUUGGACUUGGCAAGUGACAUGUCUCAUGAUUCAAAUUUGAAGUUUCAUCAACACUUUGUUCCAAAGAAUCAUUGUGUAUCGUGCAGAGAUCAUCUAAAUCUGAAAUGACAUGUUCUAUCGCUGUUUUAAGUGCCUGUUCUUUCUUGUUUAAAGUUUCCUCCAAAGAAGUGACUUUAUUAGUGAGUUCUUCUUCCAGCUGGUUACGCUGUUGCUUCCCAUAUUUCAGUUUUUCAUCUUU